GACGAACGCUGGCGGUGUGCUUAACACAUGCAAGUCGAACGGUAAGGCCCUUUCGGGGGUACACGAGUGGCGAACGGGUGAGUAACACGUGAGUAACCUGCCCUCAUCUCUGGGAUAACAGUCGGAAACGGUUUCUAAUACUGGAUAUGAGCUUGCAAUGCAUCUUUUGGGUUGUAAAGAUUUUUUUGGUUGGGGAUGUACUCGCGGCCUAUCUGCUUUUUGGUGAGGUAGUGGCUCACCAAGGCUUCGACGGGUAGCCGGCCUGAGAGGGCGACAGGCCACAUUGGGACUGAGAUACGGCCCAAACUCCUACGGGAGGAAGCAGUGGGGAAUAUUGCAAAAUGGACGGAAGUCUGAUGCAGCAACGCCGCGUGCGGGAUGACGGCCUUCGGGUUGUAAACCGCUUUCAAUUGUGACGAAGCUUUUUGUGACGGUAGCAGUAGAAGAAGCACCGGCUAACUACGUG
RNAcentral lists this ribosomal RNA (466 nucleotides) under uncultured bacterium. RNAcentral's name for it is "partial 16S ribosomal RNA". It matches the Rfam family "Bacterial small subunit ribosomal RNA", at positions 28 to 507 of the family's 1533-position model. The record is from RNAcentral.